RNAcentral lists this ribosomal RNA (933 nucleotides) under uncultured bacterium. RNAcentral's name for it is "bacterial SSU rRNA". It matches the Rfam family "Bacterial small subunit ribosomal RNA", at positions 49 to 982 of the family's 1533-position model. The record is from RNAcentral.
UUAUACAUGCAAGUCGAACGGGAUUUGAGUAGCAAUAUUCAAUGAGAGUGGCGCACGGGUGCGUAACGCGUAUGCAACCUACCUUUAACAGGGGGAUAGCCCGGAGAAAUCCGGAUUAAUACCCCAUAGUAUAUUUUUGUGGCCUCACAGAAAUAUUAAAGCUCCGGUGGUUAAAGAUGGGCAUGCGUGCCAUUAGCUAGUUGGUGAGGUAACGGCCCACCAAGGCGACGAUGGCUAGGGGUCCUGAGAGGGUUAUCCCCCACACUGGUACUGAGACACGGACCAGACUCCUACGGGAGGCAGCAGUAAGGAAUAUUGGGCAAUGGACGCAAGUCUGACCCAGCCAUGCCGCGUGCAGGAAGACGGCCUUAUGGGUUGUAAACUGCUUUUAUCAGGGAAUAAACCCUUGUUUGCGAACAAGGCUGAAGGUACCUGAAGAAUAAGCAUCGGCUAACUCCGUGCCAGCAGCCGCGGUAAUACGGAGGAUGCAAGCGUUAUCCGGAUUCAUUGGGUUUAAAGGGUGCGCAGGCGGGCUAAUAAGUCAGGGGUGAAAUACUACGGCUCAACCGUGGAACUGCCUUUGAUACUGUUAGUCUUGAGUUUAAUUGAAGUGGGCGGAAUGUAGCAUGUAGCGGUGAAAUGCAUAGAGAUGCUACAGAACACCGAUAGCGAAGGCAGCUCACUAAGUUACAACUGACGCUCAUGCACGAAAGCGUGGGGAUCAAACAGGAUUAGAUACCCUGGUAGUCCACGCUGUAAACGAUGAUCACUCGUUGUUGGCGAUACACAGUCAGCGGCUAAGCGAAAGUGAUAAGUGAUCCACCUGGGGAGUACGAUCGCAAGGUUGAAACUCAAAGGAAUUGACGGGGGCCCGCACAAGCGGUGGAGCAUGUGGUUUAAUUCGAUGAUACGCGAGGAACCUUUACUGGGCUC